GUCUAGGCCAUGCUACCCUGAACAAACCCAAUCCCAUCUGAUCUUGGAAGCUAUGCAGGGUCGGGCCUGGUUAGUACUUGGGUGGGAGACCACCUAGGAAGACCAGGUGCUGUGGGCA
RNAcentral lists this ribosomal RNA (118 nucleotides) under Pteropus alecto (black flying fox). Lineage: Eukaryota; Metazoa; Chordata; Mammalia; Chiroptera; Pteropodidae. The record is from RNAcentral.